Molecule: ribosomal RNA, 569 nt
Filed under: uncultured bacterium
Lineage: Bacteria
Description: partial 16S ribosomal RNA
Rfam family: Bacterial small subunit ribosomal RNA
Source: RNAcentral
UGGGGAAUAUUGCACAAUGGGCGCAAGCCUGAUGCAGCCAUGCCGCGUGUGUGAAGAAGGCCUUCGGGUUGUAAAGCACUUUCAGCGAGGAGGAAGGUGGUGAGCUUAAUACGCUCAUCAAUUGACGUUACUCGCAGAAGAAGCACCGGCUAACUCCGUGCCAGCAGCCGCGGUAAUACGGAGGGUGCAAGCGUUAAUCGGAAUUACUGGGCGUAAAGCGCACGCAGGCGGUUUGUUAAGUCAGAUGUGAAAUCCCCGGGCUCAACCUGGGAACUGCAUUUGAAACUGGCAAGCUAGAGUCUCGUAGAGGGGGGUAGAAUUCCAGGUGUAGCGGUGAAAUGCGUAGAGAUCUGGAGGAAUACCGGUGGCGAAGGCGGCCCCCUGGACGAAGACUGACGCUCAGGUGCGAAAGCGUGGGGAGCAAAACAGGAUUAGAUACCCUGGUAGUCCACGCUGUAAAACGAUGUCGAUUUUGGAGGUUGUGCCCCUUGAGGCGUGGCUUCCGGAGCUAACGCGUUAAAUCGACCGCCUGGGGAGUACGGCCGCAAGGUUAAAACUUAAAUGAAUUG